CCUACGGGCGGCAGCAGUGAGGAAUAUUGGUCAAUGGGCGCGAGCCUGAACCAGCCAAGUAGCGUGAAGGAUGACUGCCCUACGGGUUGUAAACUUCUUUUAUAAAGGAAUAAAGUGAGGCACGUGUGUCUUUUUGUAUGUACUUUAUGAAUAAGGAUCGGCUAACUCCGUGCCAGCAGCCGCGGUAAUACGGAGGAUCCGAGCGUUAUCCGGAUUUAUUGGGUUUAAAGGGUGCGUAGGCGGAAUGCCAAGUCAGCGGUAAAAUCGCGGGGCUCAACCUCGCUCCGCCGUUGAAACUGGCGUUCUUGAGUGGGCGAGAAGUAUGCGGAAUGCGUGGUGUAGCGGUGAAAUGCGUAGAUAUUAGGAGGAACACCAGUGGCGAAGGCGGCCUGCUGGACGAUGACUGACGUUGAGGCUCGAAAGCGUGGGGAGCAAACAGGAUUAGAUACCCGAGUAGUC
Molecule: ribosomal RNA, 459 nt
Filed under: uncultured bacterium
Lineage: Bacteria
Description: partial 16S ribosomal RNA
Rfam family: Bacterial small subunit ribosomal RNA
Source: RNAcentral